UAUUAUUUAAUAUGUAAAUUUGUAUCUGGAGUAGUAAUAGUUAAGUUCUAUAAACUUAAAGAAUUUGGCGGUGCUUUAGUCUUUUCAGAGGAAUCUGUUCUUUAAAUGAUAAUACACGAGUUGUUUUACUUAAUUUAGUUGUUUGUAUACCGCCGUCAUAAGAAUAUUUUGAUAAGAAUUUUAAUUUUCUUAAUUUUUGAUUAAAAAAUAUGUCAGGUCAAGGUGCAGCUUAUAAUUAAGAUGAAAUGGAUUACAAUAAAAUUAUUUAUAUGAAUAUAAGUUUAAUAGUUUAUUGAAGGUGGAUUUGAUUGUAAAUUUGUUAUUAUUAUCAUUUUGAUUUUGGCUCUAAAGUGUGCACACAUCGCCGGUCGCUCU
This 375-nucleotide ribosomal RNA is filed under the name Matuanus caledonicus. RNAcentral's name for it is "partial 12S ribosomal RNA". The record is from RNAcentral. Lineage: Eukaryota; Metazoa; Arthropoda; Insecta; Orthoptera; Gryllidae.